GGGCGAAAGCCUGAUGCAGCGACGCCGCGUGAGCGAAGAAGUAUUCGGUAUGUAAAGCUACUAUCAGCAGGGAAGAAAAUGACGGUACCUGACUAAGAAGCCCCGGCUAACUACGUGCC
This 119-nucleotide ribosomal RNA is filed under the name uncultured bacterium. RNAcentral describes it as "partial 16S ribosomal RNA". It matches the Rfam family "Bacterial small subunit ribosomal RNA", at positions 373 to 509 of the family's 1533-position model. The record is from RNAcentral.